AUGUUGAAAAGCAGAAACAUUUCAUUUUCAACAACUCAAGCUUCAUUUGAAGAAAUUCUGUCCAAACAAUUCAACCCCAUAGAUAAACAAAUUUCGAUAGAGCCACCACAAUUUCAUUCAAUUUCAAAGGAUUCGGUCAGAAUUUCAUUCAUAUUUCACGGAGGCAGAAGCUUCAUUCUGUUCAAAUAAUUUCAAGAACAGGUUCAAACAGACAGACGGGUAGACCUGCUGAGUAAGUGUUGCUCGAGUUCAACUUUAUCGGGAUGGACCAAAGGAAGAAACAAUCUAGUGAUCGAGAUUUCAUACUUCAAAGCUCUAACACUGGGAGGACUAUAUAUAUAUAUAUAUGAAGAGGCAAAGAAGACAAAAAGUCAGAAUUCAAGCCUGAAUCAGCCUAAGAGCAAAAACCAAGUAUACAAAAAUCUUUGAAGAAACUCGAAAAAGGACACAAGAUGGAUACAAGAUAUACUCCAAGUUCUUAUGAGUUUUUAGGUUAAAUAAUUAGUCACGGGAUAAUAGACCCGAAAUUUUGAAACCUGUUACAAAUGAAGCAGUUGUGAAAGAGUUGUAAAUGUUGUAUUACAUAAAUAAAGAAUGAUGUACACAAUU
This is a non-coding RNA of Nicotiana tabacum (common tobacco), 609 nucleotides long. The record is from RefSeq and is a predicted model, not a curated record. Lineage: Eukaryota; Viridiplantae; Streptophyta; Magnoliopsida; Solanales; Solanaceae.